GGGUUGUGAGGUUAAGCGACUAAGCGUACACGGUGGAUGCCCUGGCAGUCAGAGGCGAUGAAGGACGUGCUAAUCUGCGAUAAGCGCCGGUAAGGUGAUAUGAACCGUUAUAACCGGCGAUUUCCGAAUGGGGAAACCCAGUGUGACUCGUCACACUAUCAUUAACUGAAUCCAUAGGUUAAUGAGGCGAACCGGGGGAACUGAAACAUCUAAGUACCCCGAGGAAAAGAAAUCAACCGAGAUUCCCCCAGUAGCGGCGAGCGAACGGGGAGGAGCCCAGAGCCUGAAUCAGCAUGUGUGUUAGUGGAAGCGUCUGGAAAGGCGCGCGAUACAGGGUGACAGCCCCGUACACAAAAGCGCACAUGCUGUGAGCUCGAUGAGUAGGGCGGGACACGUGGUAUCCUGUCUGAAUAUGGGGGGACCAUCCUCCAAGGCUAAAUACUCCUGACUGACCGAUAGUGAACCAGUACCGUGAGGGAAAGGCGAAAAGAACCCCGGCGAGGGGAGUGAAAAAGAACCUGAAACCGUGUACGUACAAGCAGUGGGAGCACAGGUUUACCUGUGUGACUGCGUACCUUUUGUAUAAUGGGUCAGCGACUUAUAUUCUGUAGCAAGGUUAACCGAAUAGGGGAGCCGGAGGGAAACCGAGUCUUAAUUGGGCGUUAAGUUGCAGGGUAUAGACCCGAAACCCGGUGAUCUAGCCAUGGGCAGGUUGAAGGUUGGGUAACACUAACUGGAGGACCGAACCGACUAAUGUUGAAAAAUUAGCGGAUGACCUGUGGCUGGGGGUGAAAGGCCAAUCAAACCGGGAGAUAGCUGGUUCUCCCCGAAAGCUAUUUAGGUAGCGCCUCGUGAAUUCAUCUCCGGGGGUAGAGCACUGUUUCGGCUAGGGGGCCAUCCCGGCUUACCAACCCGAUGCAAACUGCGAAUACCGGAGAAUGUUAUCACGGGAGACACACGGCGGGUGCUAACGUCCGUCGUGAAGAGGGAAACAACCCAGACCGCCAGCUAAGGUCCCAAAGUCAUGGUUAAGUGGGAAACGAUGUGGGAAGGCCCAGACAGCCAGGAUGUUGGCUUAGAAGCAGCCAUCAUUUAAAGAAAGCGUAAUAGCUCACUGGUCGAGUCGGCCUGCGCGGAAGAUGUAACGGGGCUAAACCAUGCACCGAAGCUGCGGCAGCGACGCUGAUGCGUUGUUGGGUAGGGGAGCGUUCUGUAAGCCUGCGAAGGUGGCCUGUGAGGGUUGCUGGAGGUAUCAGAAGUGCGAAUGCUGACAUAAGUAACGAUAAAGCGGGUGAAAAGCCCGCUCGCCGGAAGACCAAGGGUUCCUGUCCAACGUUAAUCGGGGCAGGGUGAGUCGACCCCUAAGGCGAGGCCGAAAGGCGUAGUCGAUGGGAAACGGGUUAAUAUUCCCGUACUUGGUGUUACUGCGAAGGGGGGACGGAGAAGGCUAUGUUGGCCGGGCGACGGUUGUCCCGGUUUAAGCGUGUAGGUGUGUGUUCCAGGUAAAUCCGGUUCACUUUAACACUGAGGCGUGACGACGAGGCACUACGGUGCUGAAGCAACAAAUGCCCUGCUUCCAGGAAAAGCCUCUAAGCAUCAGGUAACAUCAAAUCGUACCCCAAACCGACACAGGUGGUCAGGUAGAGAAUACCAAGGCGCUUGAGAGAACUCGGGUGAAGGAACUAGGCAAAAUGGUGCCGUAACUUCGGGAGAAGGCACGCUGACACGUAGGUGAAGUGAUUUACUCAUGGAGCUGAAGUCAGUCGAAGAUACCAGCUGGCUGCAACUGUUUAUUAAAAACACAGCACUGUGCAAACACGAAAGUGGACGUAUACGGUGUGACGCCUGCCCGGUGCCGGAAGGUUAAUUGAUGGGGUCAGCGCAAGCGAAGCUCCUGAUCGAAGCCCCGGUAAACGGCGGCCGUAACUAUAACGGUCCUAAGGUAGCGAAAUUCCUUGUCGGGUAAGUUCCGACCUGCACGAAUGGCGUAAUGAUGGCCAGGCUGUCUCCACCCGAGACUCAGUGAAAUUGAACUCGCUGUGAAGAUGCAGUGUACCCGCGGCAAGACGGAAAGACCCCGUGAACCUUUACUAUAGCUUGACACUGAACAUUGAGCCUUGAUGUGUAGGAUAGGUGGGAGGCUUUGAAGUGUGGACGCCAGUCUGCAUGGAGCCGGCCUUGAAAUACCACCCUUUAAUGUUUGAUGUUCUAACGUGGACCCGUGAUCCGGGUUGCGGACAGUGUCUGGUGGGUAGUUUGACUGGGGCGGUCUCCUCCUAAAGAGUAACGGAGGAGCACGAAGGUUGGCUAAUCCUGGUCGGACAUCAGGAGGUUAGUGCAAUGGCAUAAGCCAGCUUGACUGCGAGCGUGACGGCGCGAGCAGGUGCGAAAGCAGGUCAUAGUGAUCCGGUGGUUCUGAAUGGAAGGGCCAUCGCUCAACGGAUAAAAGGUACUCCGGGGAUAACAGGCUGAUACCGCCCAAGAGUUCAUAUCGACGGCGGUGUUUGGCACCUCGAUGUCGGCUCAUCACAUCCUGGGGCUGAAGUAGGUCCCAAGGGUAUGGCUGUUCGCCAUUUAAAGUGGUACGCGAGCUGGGUUUAGAACGUCGUGAGACAGUUCGGUCCCUAUCUGCCGUGGGCGCUGGAGAACUGAGGGGGGCUGCUCCUAGUACGAGAGGACCGGAGUGGACGCAUCACUGGUGUUCGGGUUGUCAUGCCAAUGGCACUGCCCGGUAGCUAAAUGCGGAAGAGAUAAGUGCUGAAAGCAUCUAAGCACGAAACUUGCCCCGAGAUGAGUUCUCCCUGAGACUUAAAGUCUCCUGAAGGAACGUUGAAGACGACGACGUUGAUAGGCCGGGUGUGUAAGCGCAGCGAUGCGUUGAGCUAACCGGUACUAAUGAACCGUGAGGCUUAACCUUACAACGCCGAAG
This 2929-nucleotide ribosomal RNA is filed under the name Salmonella enterica subsp. enterica serovar Brandenburg. RNAcentral describes it as "23S ribosomal RNA". It matches the Rfam family "Bacterial large subunit ribosomal RNA". The record is from RNAcentral. Lineage: Bacteria; Pseudomonadati; Pseudomonadota; Gammaproteobacteria; Enterobacterales; Enterobacteriaceae.